GACGAACGCUGGCGGCGUGCCUAAUACAUGCAAGUAGAACGCACAGUUUAUACCGUAGCUUGCUACACCAUAAACUGUGAGUUGCGAACGGGUGAGUAACGCGUAGGUAACCUGCCUGGUAGCGGGGGAUAACUAUUGGAAACGCUAGCUAAUACCGCAUAAUAUUAAUUAUUGCAUGAUAAUUGAUUGAAAGAUGCAAUUGCAUCACUACCAGAUGGACCUGCGUUGUAUUAGCUAGUAGGUGGGGUAACGGCUCACCUAGGCGACGAUACAUAGCCGACCUGGGGGGGUGGUCGGCCACACUGGGACUGAGACACGGCCCAGACUCCUACGGGAGGCAGCAGUAGGGAAUCUUCGGCAAUGGACGGAAGUCUGACCGAGCCACGCCGCGUGAGUGAAGAAGGUUUUCGGGUCGUAAAGCUCUGUUGUAAGGGAAGAACGGGUGUGAGAGUGGAAAGUUCACACUGUGACGGUAUCUUACCAGAAAGGGACGGCUAACUACGUG
Molecule: ribosomal RNA, 505 nt
Filed under: uncultured bacterium
Lineage: Bacteria
Description: partial 16S ribosomal RNA
Rfam family: Bacterial small subunit ribosomal RNA
Source: RNAcentral